Non-coding RNA from Cinara cedri, 681 nucleotides. The record is from the annotation of a GenBank genome assembly. NCBI's taxonomy places the organism in Eukaryota, Metazoa, Arthropoda, Insecta, Hemiptera, Aphididae.
UAUAGUUGUCAUAUUCACAUGCGGUUUAUAUUUGUAUGUAUCAGGGACAAAGAAGGUAGGUACCGUCGUUUGGGUUUACUUUGUUUCUUUCAGGGGAAUUUCGCGUCAAAAACAAAUUCAUAACAUAAUUUAAUUUUAGUUCUAGCAUUGGAGGCGACGUACUCUUAUGGCUAUUAUCUUACCUCCAUACACAGAGCCACGGAGGCAGUUUUAUCUGUUAUCAUUUGUGACGCCGUUAAACGCCAGAAAAAUUGAGCUGUCAAACUUUUCUUCUUGGAGCGGAAAGCUUGUAGAUUUUUAAGGCAAGAUAUGACUCAUCCACGUCAGAAAUUUAGUUACGAAAACGAUAUCACAUCAAGAUUUGUGUUUAAACAGUUUUGAAUGAUUAAAAUGCAAAUGUAAUGAUUGAGGUAAUAUUGAACCAGUAAAAGGGAUGUCUGCGUUAGUAUUUUAUUACUUUGUUUUGGGCCAAAGUUUGAAACAUGAAGUAGGGGGAUUAGAAGAGUCGAUAAAAAUCUCUAAAACUAGAAAUAUUUACAGAGUAUUAUCUAUAACAUAUUUAUUGUGUAGUAUAGUGCAAUUAUUCAACUGUUAUAAUAAUUUAUUUAAUUUAUGAGUUUUUACUGUACAAUAUAAAGUACCUACUUACUAAACCAAUGAUAAAGAAAAAUAUGACCGAGC